RNAcentral lists this transfer RNA (90 nucleotides) under Gammaproteobacteria bacterium. Its description in RNAcentral is "tRNA-Ser". It matches the Rfam family "tRNA". From Rfam's summary of the family: Transfer RNA (tRNA) molecules are approximately 80 nucleotides in length. Their secondary structure includes four short double-helical elements and three loops (D, anti-codon, and T loops). Further hydrogen bonds mediate the characteristic L-shaped molecular structure. tRNAs have two regions of fundamental functional importance: the anti-codon, which is responsible for specific mRNA codon recognition, and the 3' end, to which the tRNAs corresponding amino acid is attached (by aminoacyl-tRNA synthetases). tRNAs cope with the degeneracy of the genetic code in two manners: having more than one tRNA (with a specific anti-codon) for a particular amino acid; and 'wobble' base-pairing, i.e. permitting non-standard base-pairing at the 3rd anti-codon position. Lineage: Bacteria; Pseudomonadati; Pseudomonadota; Gammaproteobacteria. The record is from RNAcentral. RNAcentral also lists the same sequence under 1 other name.
GGAGAGGUGCCAGAGUGGUCGAAUGGGCCUGACUCGAAAUCAGGUGUGCGCGCAAGCGUACCGUGGGUUCGAAUCCCACCCUCUCCGCCA